This 206-nucleotide ribosomal RNA is filed under the name uncultured bacterium. Its description in RNAcentral is "partial 16S ribosomal RNA". It matches the Rfam family "Bacterial small subunit ribosomal RNA", at positions 568 to 774 of the family's 1533-position model. The record is from RNAcentral.
CGUGUAGGCGGUCCGGUAAGUCCGCUGUGAAAGUCGAGGGCUCAACCCUCGAAUGCCGGUGGAUACUGUCGGGCUAGAGUACGGAAGAGGCGAGUGGAAUUCCUGGUGUAGCGGUGAAAUGCGCAGAUAUCAGGAGGAACACCAAUUGCGAAGGCAGCUCGCUGGGACGUUACUGACGCUGAGACGCGAAAGCGUGGGAGCAAACA